RNAcentral lists this ribosomal RNA (757 nucleotides) under Hydrophylita emporos. Its description in RNAcentral is "eukaryotic LSU rRNA". It matches the Rfam family "Eukaryotic large subunit ribosomal RNA", at positions 598 to 950 of the family's 3401-position model. The record is from RNAcentral. Lineage: Eukaryota; Metazoa; Arthropoda; Insecta; Hymenoptera; Trichogrammatidae.
GGCGUUGGCUUGCUGGUGGCUCGCGAUGCAGGGAGUCUUGUUGCUUCUUGCACGCGGUCGCUUUGUCAUGUCUAGCGUCGUCGGCGUGCACUUCUCCCCUAGUAGGACGUCGCGACCCGUUGGGUGUCGGCCUACGGCCCGGUCGGUCGACUGGCGCGGCGCGCAUACUGCGAUCGCGUCAGACCACCGGUCGCCCGGCCGCCUGCCCGGCGGUAGAGAUCGCUUUCUAUUUUUACGGUAUCGAGCCGCACUAAGUGCGUUCCUGGCUCGUCGGCAGGGUGCGUCUCGCUCGGCUUAACGGACCUGGAGCCGUUGCCGGGCGCUUGACGUGCCUCUAGUCGACGAUGUUCUCGGACGGGCUCGUCACAUUCGAACGGAUAUACCAGUCGGCGACGCUACUGCUUUGGGUACUUUCAGGACCCGUCUUGAAACACGGACCAAGGAGUCUAACAUGUGCGCGAGUCAUUGGGACUUGUUUUAAGCCUAAAGGCGCAAUGAAAGUGAAGGUCCGCUUUAUGCGCGACCGAGGGAGGAUGGCUCGCGUCACGAUGCGAGUCCGCACUCCCGGGGCGUCUCGUGCUCAUUGCGAGCUGAGGCGCACCCAGAGCGUACACGUUGGGACCCGAAAGAUGGUGAACUAUGCCUGGUCAGGACGAAGUCAGGGGAAACCCUGAUGGAGGUCCGUAGCGAUUCUGACGUGCAAAUCGAUCGUCGGAWCUGGGUAUAGGGGCGAAAGACUAAUCGAACCAUCUAGUAG